GAGUGACCGCUGGCGGUAGGCCUAACACAUGCAAGUCGAACGGCAGCACAGUAAGAGCUUGCUCUUACGGGUGGCGAGUGGCGGACGGGUGAGGAAUACAUCGGAAUCUACUUUUUCGUGGGGGAUAACGUAGGGAAACUUACGCUAAUACCGCAUACGACCUACGGGUGAAAGCAGGGGAUCUUCGGACCUUGCGCGAUUGAAUGAGCCGAUGUCGGAUUAGCUAGUUGGCGGGGUAAAGGCCCACCAAGGCGACGAUCCGUAGCUGGUCUGAGAGGAUGAUCAGCCACACUGGAACUGAGACACGGUCCAGACUCCUACGGGAGGCAGCAGUGGGGAAUAUUGGACAAUGGGCGCAAGCCUGAUCCAGCCAUGCCGCGUGUGUGAAGAAGGCCUUCGGGUUGUAAAGCCCUUUUGGUGGGGAAGAAGAGCAGUAGGUUAAUACCCCGCUGUUCUGACGUUACCCACAGAAUAAGCACCGGCUAACUUCGUG
This 493-nucleotide ribosomal RNA is filed under the name uncultured bacterium. RNAcentral's name for it is "partial 16S ribosomal RNA". It matches the Rfam family "Bacterial small subunit ribosomal RNA", at positions 27 to 507 of the family's 1533-position model. The record is from RNAcentral.